This 559-nucleotide long non-coding RNA is filed under the name Homo sapiens (human). RNAcentral's name for it is "LHRI_LNC581.1". The record is from RNAcentral. Lineage: Eukaryota; Metazoa; Chordata; Mammalia; Primates; Hominidae.
GGAAACAAAGCUUAGCAGGAGAGGAGAGCCAGAGAAGUGACAGGGAAGCUACAGGUUACAACAGAUUUGUGAACUCAGCCAAGCACAGUGGUGGCAGGGCCUAGCUGCUACAAAGAAGACAUGUUUUAGACAAAUACUCAUGUGUAUGGGCAAAAAACUCGAGGACUGUAUUUGUGACUAAUUGUAUAACAGGUUAUUUUAGUUUCUGUUCUGUGGAAAGUGUAAAGCAUUCCAACAAAGGGUUUUAAUGUAGAUUUUUUUUUUUGCACCCAUGCUGUUGAUUGCUAAAUGUAAUAGUCUGAUCGUGACGCUGAAUAAAUGUCUUUUUUUUUAAUGUGCUGUGUAAAGUUAGUCUACUCUGAAGCCAUCUUGGUAAAUUUCCCCAACAGUGUGAAGUUAGAAUUCCUUCAGGGUGAUGCCAGGUUCUAUUUGGAAUUUAUAUACAACCUGCUUGGGUGGAGAAGCUAUUGUCUUCGGAAACCUUGGUGUAGUUGAACUGAUAGUUACUGUUGUGACCUGAAGUUCACCAUUAAAAGGGAUUACCCAAGCAAAAUCAUGG